RNAcentral lists this small nucleolar RNA (135 nucleotides) under Peromyscus maniculatus bairdii (prairie deer mouse). RNAcentral's name for it is "Small nucleolar RNA SNORA33 (ENSPEMG00000025442.1)". The record is from RNAcentral. Lineage: Eukaryota; Metazoa; Chordata; Mammalia; Rodentia; Cricetidae.
AAGACAAAUGAUCUUUAGGUUCUAUUCAUCCAAAUUCAGUUUUGUGAAAAUUCAGAAAAUUUUGGCCAUAGUAAUGUCAUGUUAAAAGCUGUAAGGACAUUUAAGUCAUUAAAGUUUCUGUAAGUGGCUACAGUA